CGCCUACGGGAGGCAGCAGUGAGGAAUAUUGGUCAAUGGGCGAGAGCCUGAACCAGCCAAGUCGCGUGAAGGAUGACGGCCCUACGGGUUGUAAACUUCUUUUGUCAGGGAGCAAUUGGGUCCACGUGUGGGCUUAGCGAGAGUACCUGAAGAAAAAGCAUCGGCCAACUCCGUGCCAGCAGCCGCGGUAAUACGGAGGAUGCGAGCGUUAUCCGGAUUUACUGGGUGUAAAGGGGGCGCAGACGGCAGCGCAAGCCAGGAGUGAAAGCCCGGGGCCCAACCCCGGGACUGCUCUUGGAACUGCG
Molecule: ribosomal RNA, 305 nt
Filed under: uncultured bacterium
Lineage: Bacteria
Description: bacterial SSU rRNA
Rfam family: Bacterial small subunit ribosomal RNA
Source: RNAcentral